Diceros bicornis minor is the source of this 597-nucleotide long non-coding RNA. RefSeq lists it as uncharacterized. The record is from RefSeq and is a predicted model, not a curated record. NCBI's taxonomy places the organism in Eukaryota, Metazoa, Chordata, Mammalia, Perissodactyla, Rhinocerotidae. The transcript has 3 exons.
CCUCCCGGCCCCAGGCCUCGAGGCCUCCCCAUUCCCGCCGACCUCCUCCUUCCCAGCGGGGCCAGAAUAGGAGCGCCGCGUCCUGGGAUCCCCUCCUCCCGCGGACGGGCGACAGAGACCCGGAUGGUGGCAGCACGGCCGCUUCCUUUCUUUCCCUCAGCUCCCCGGCCAGGGGCCCACGGAGAGAUGCGCCUCUGACUUGGGCCCGCCCGGGUCACUCCCUCCAUCCAGGCCAUGUCCCCAGUCCCAGCCCCCUGAAGCCUCCCCAUUCAGGCCCGAGGCCACUUUUCCCGGGAAGCGCCGCUCCCCGGGCUCCAACUCCACUUCUUUUCUCACCAAGUGGGAUUGGAUUCCCGGGCAGCGCAACCGAACGCGCGGCAGGAGAUGCAAGCCAAGGCCAGAGGAAGUUAGCCAAACAACUGAUAUUUAACCAAGCAAGAGGAUGCUGAAAAAGGAGAGUGCUGCCAGGCUAGGAGAGAAGCCAUGAGAACCCCCCAACCAGGGCACCUGCUGCUGAAGGUUCUACUGGUUUCUACACUGGAUUAUGAUGAUCUAUGUCGUUGGAGCGCCUGGAAAAUGGAGGAGAUUACUUGGGGA